This 254-nucleotide ribosomal RNA is filed under the name uncultured bacterium. RNAcentral describes it as "partial 16S ribosomal RNA". It matches the Rfam family "Bacterial small subunit ribosomal RNA", at positions 524 to 776 of the family's 1533-position model. The record is from RNAcentral.
UACGUAGGUGGCAAGCGUUGUCCGGAAUUAUUGGGCGUAAAGCGCGCGCAGGCGGUCUUUUUAAGUCUGAUGUGAAAGCCCACGGCUCAACCGUGGAGGGUCAUUGGAAACUGGGGGGACUUAGUGCAGAAGAGGGAAAGCGGAAUUCCACGUGUAGCGGUGAAAUGCGUAGAGAUGUGGAGGAACACCAGUGGCGAAGGCGGCUUUCUGGUCUGUAACUGACGUGAGGCGCGAAAGCUAGGGGAGCAAACGGG